RNAcentral lists this ribosomal RNA (440 nucleotides) under uncultured bacterium. Its description in RNAcentral is "partial 16S ribosomal RNA". It matches the Rfam family "Bacterial small subunit ribosomal RNA", at positions 338 to 795 of the family's 1533-position model. The record is from RNAcentral.
CCUACGGGAGGCUGCAGUGGGGAAUAUUGCACAAUGGGGGAAACCCUGAUGCAGCGACGCCGCGUGAGUGAAGAAGUAUCUCGGUAUGUAAAGCUCUUUUAGCAGGGAAGAUAAUGACGAUACUUGACUAAGAAGCACCGGCUAAUGACGUGCCAGCAGCCGCGGCAAGACGAGGGGGGCGAGCGUUAUCCGGAUUUACUGGGUGGAAAUGGAGCGUAGGCGGCAGCACAAGUCUGGAGGGAAAUCACCGGGCGUAACCACGGAACUGCCUUGGAAACUGUGCGGCUGGAGUGCAGGAGGGGUAGGCGGAAUGUAUGGUGUAGCGGUGAAAUGCGUAGAGAUUAGGAGGAACACCGGUGGCGAAGGCAGCUUACUGGACUGUAACUGACGUUGAGGCACGAAAGCGUGGGGAGCAAACAGGAUUAGAUACCCCAGUAGUC